AAGAAACAAACUGGGAUUAGAACCUCACUAUGCUUAAUCGUAAAACAUAACACUUACACCCUAAAAUCGCUAGAGUACUACGAGUAACCAACUUAAAACUCAAAGGACUUGACGGCGUCUUACCUGCCUAGAGGAGCCUGUUCUAUAAUCGAUAUUCCCCGACUCACCUUACCAUUUUUCGCCUAAUCAGUCUGUAUACCUCCGUCGCAAGCUUACCAUAUGAAUGUUAAUUAGUAAGCAAAUUGAUCCACUUCAUCAACACGCCAGGUCAAGGUGCAACCCACAAAAUGGAAAGAAAUGGGCUACAGUUUCUAGUCUUAGAACAUACGAAUUUAUCAUAUGAAAAAUGAUAAUGAAGGCGGAUUUAGCAGUAAGGGGGUAAAUAAAAUGUCCCCCUUAACCACAGCAAUGAGACGUGUACACACCGCCCGUCACCCUCUUCAAUUAAACAUCUAAUGUGUUUAUAACAAUAUUAUUCACUAAAAGAAGAGGCAAGUCGUAACAAGGUAAGCAUACUGGAAAGUGUGCUUGGAACAACAAAAUAUAGCUUAACCAAAGCACUUCGUUUACACCGAACUAAUAUCUAUUUAAAUCAGAUUAUUUUGAGCCAAAAACCUCGCCCGAACACACUCAAUAAUUUACCCCACACCACAAAACAUUUAAACAAUCUAGUAAAGGUGAUUAAAAACUUAAUAAGAGCUACACAUACAGUACCGCAAGGGAAAAUUGAAAUAGAAAUGAAAUAAACCAAAAGCCAAUAAAAGCAGAGAUUAACGCUCGUACCUUUUGCAUCAUGGUCCUAGCUAGUCUUAACGAGCAAACUAUAAUAUUAAGCUCGUACCCCCGAAACCCGACGAGCUACUUAAAAACAGCUAUAAGAGCCAACCCAUCUCUGUUGUAAAAGAGUGGGAAGAUUUUUAAGUAGGGGUGACACGCCUACCGAGCCGGGAGAUAGUUGGUUGCUCAAGAAAAGAACCUAAAUUCUUCCUCAAAUACCACACAUAAUACUUAAAUACACAUUUGAGAGCCAUUCAAAUACCGUACAGCCUGUCUUGAUCCCGGAUACAACCAACAAUUAAGGGUAAUGUAAACCCAACCUUACUUAAGUAGGCCUAAAAGCAGCCACCUCCCAAAAUAACGUUACAGCUUUAUUAAAAUUAUUUUUAAUACCAACUAUUACACAAAACCCUACCCCAAUACUGAGCACUUUUAUAACUUAUAAAUGUUAUUAUGCUAGAACAAGUAACAAGAAAAAUUUCUCCUUAAUAUAAGCAUACAUCAAACAUGAUUUUUACUUCUAUAAAUGUAACACCUCUUCCAGAAAAUUUUACUAACCACCAAACUUACUAUUAACCUUACACAAGAACACUACAGGAAAGAUUAAAACAAAAAGAAGGAACUCGGCAAAUCUUAGUCUCGCCUGUUUACCAAAAACAUCGCCUCUUGAUUAAUUAUAAGAGGUCCAGCCUGCCCAGUGAUUAUUUCAACGGCCGCGGUACCAUAACCGUGCGAAGGUAGCACAAUCACUUGUUCUUUAAAUAAGGACUAGUAUGAACGGCACCACGAAGACUAAACUGUCUCCUUUAUGUAAUCAGUGAAACUGAUCUUCCCGUGAAGAAGCGGGAAUUAUCAUAUAAGACGAGAAGACCCCAUGAAGCUUCAAAUAAAUAUCAACUACUACCCCAACACCACCUCAACCUUAGCAGACCUGAUUAUUAAUUUUUGGUUGGGGUGACCACGGAGCAAAAUAAAACCUCCUCAAUGAAGGGGCCUAACCCCCUAAUUUAAGAACAACAACUCUAACAAUCAAAACAUUGACAUACUUGACCCAAACCAAAAUUGAUCAAUGAACCAAGUUACUCUGGGGGAUAACAGCGCAAUCCACUUCAAAAGCCCCUAUCGACAAGUGGGUUUACGACCUCGAUGUUGGAUCAGGGUGUCCCAGUGGUGCAGCCACUACUAAAGGGUUCGUUUGUUCAACGAUUAAAACCCU
This 1993-nucleotide unclassified non-coding RNA is filed under the name Arthroleptis affinis (Amani screeching frog). RNAcentral describes it as "partial contains 12S ribosomal RNA, tRNA-Val, and 16S ribosomal RNA". The stretch from base 1 to 544 matches the Rfam family "Bacterial small subunit ribosomal RNA", at positions 762 to 1533 of the family's 1533-position model. The record is from RNAcentral. Lineage: Eukaryota; Metazoa; Chordata; Amphibia; Anura; Arthroleptidae.